UACAGAGGGGGACAAGCGUUAUUCGGAAUUAUUGGGCGUAAAGGGCGCGUAGGCGGCCGUGCAAGUGGAAGGUGAAAUCCCUCGGCUCAACCGAGGAACUGCCUUUCAAACUGCAUGGCUUGAGUCCGGGAGAGGUGAGUGGAAUUCCCAGUGUAGCGGUGAAAUGCGUAGAUAUUGGGAGGAACACCAGUGGCGAAGGCGGCUCACUGGACCGGAACUGACGCUGAGGCGCGAAAGCGUGGGGAGCAAACGGG
RNAcentral lists this ribosomal RNA (254 nucleotides) under uncultured bacterium. Its description in RNAcentral is "partial 16S ribosomal RNA". It matches the Rfam family "Bacterial small subunit ribosomal RNA", at positions 524 to 776 of the family's 1533-position model. The record is from RNAcentral.